UACGUAGGGUGCAGGCGUUAAUCGGAAUUACUGGGCGUAAAGCGUGCGCGGGCGGCUCCUUAAGUCAGAUGUGAAAGCCCCGGGCUUAACCUGGGAACUGCGUUUGAAACUGGGGAGCUGGAGUGUAGAAGAGGGGGGUGGAAUUCCAGGUGUAGCAGUGAAAUGCGUAGAUAUCUGGAGGAACACCGAUGGCGAAGGCAGCCCCCUGGGCUAACACUGACGCUCAUGCACGAAAGCGUGGGGAGCAAACAGG
RNAcentral lists this ribosomal RNA (253 nucleotides) under uncultured bacterium. RNAcentral describes it as "partial 16S ribosomal RNA". It matches the Rfam family "Bacterial small subunit ribosomal RNA", at positions 524 to 776 of the family's 1533-position model. The record is from RNAcentral.